This 432-nucleotide ribosomal RNA is filed under the name uncultured bacterium. RNAcentral describes it as "bacterial SSU rRNA". It matches the Rfam family "Bacterial small subunit ribosomal RNA", at positions 27 to 457 of the family's 1533-position model. The record is from RNAcentral.
GAUUGAACGCUGGCGGCAGGCCUAACACAUGCAAGUCGAGCGGUAGCACAGAGAGCUUGCUCUCGGGUGACGAGCGGCGGACGGGUGAGUAAUGUCUGGGAAACUGCCUGAUGGAGGGGGAUAACUACUGGAAACGGUAGCUAAUACCGCAUAAUGUCGCAAGACCAAAGUGGGGGACCUUCGGGCCUCAUGCCAUCAGAUGUGCCCAGAUGGGAUUAGCUAGUAGGUGGGGUAACGGCUCACCUAGGCGACGAUCCCUAGCUGGUCUGAGAGGAUGACCAGCCACACUGGAACUGAGACACGGUCCAGACUCCUACGGGAGGCAGCAGUGGGGAAUAUUGCACAAUGGGCGCAAGCCUGAUGCAGCCAUGCCGCGUGUGUGAAGAAGGCCUUCGGGUUGUAAAGCACUUUCAGCGGGGAGGAAGGCGAUAA